RNAcentral lists this ribosomal RNA (2904 nucleotides) under Escherichia coli O170:H18. RNAcentral describes it as "23S ribosomal RNA". It matches the Rfam family "Bacterial large subunit ribosomal RNA". Lineage: Bacteria; Pseudomonadati; Pseudomonadota; Gammaproteobacteria; Enterobacterales; Enterobacteriaceae. The record is from RNAcentral.
GGUUAAGCGACUAAGCGUACACGGUGGAUGCCCUGGCAGUCAGAGGCGAUGAAGGACGUGCUAAUCUGCGAUAAGCGUCGGUGAGGUGAUAUGAACCGUUAUAACCGGCGAUUUCCGAAUGGGGAAACCCAGUGUGAUUCGUCACACUAUCAUUAACUGAAUCCAUAGGUUAAUGAGGCGAACCGGGGGAACUGAAACAUCUAAGUACCCCGAGGAAAAGAAAUCAACCGAGAUUCCCCCAGUAGCGGCGAGCGAACGGGGAGGAGCCCAGAGCCUGAAUCAGUGUGUGUGUUAGUGGAAGCGUCUGGAAAGGCGCGCGAUACAGGGUGACAGCCCCGUACACAAAAAUGCACAUAUUGUGAGCUCGAUGAGUAGGGCGGGACACGUGGUAUCCUGUCUGAAUAUGGGGGGACCAUCCUCCAAGGCUAAAUACUCCUGACUGACCGAUAGUGAACCAGUACCGUGAGGGAAAGGCGAAAAGAACCCCGGCGAGGGGAGUGAAAAAGAACCUGAAACCGUGUACGUACAAGCAGUGGGAGCCUCUUAAUGGGGUGACUGCGUACCUUUUGUAUAAUGGGUCAGCGACUUAUAUUCUGUAGCAAGGUUAACCGAAUAGGGGAGCCGAAGGGAAACCGAGUCUUAACUGGGCGUUAAGUUGCAGGGUAUAGACCCGAAACCCGGUGAUCUAGCCAUGGGCAGGUUGAAGGUUGGGUAACACUAACUGGAGGACCGAACCGACUAAUGUUGAAAAAUUAGCGGAUGACUUGUGGCUGGGGGUGAAAGGCCAAUCAAACCGGGAGAUAGCUGGUUCUCCCCGAAAGCUAUUUAGGUAGCGCCUCGUGAAUUCAUCUCCGGGGGUAGAGCACUGUUUCGGCAAGGGGGUCAUCCCGACUUACCAACCCGAUGCAAACUGCGAAUACCGGAGAAUGUUAUCACGGGAGACACACGGCGGGUGCUAACGUCCGUCGUGAAGAGGGAAACAACCCAGACCGCCAGCUAAGGUCCCAAAGUCAUGGUUAAGUGGGAAACGAUGUGGGAAGGCCCAGACAGCCAGGAUGUUGGCUUAGAAGCAGCCAUCAUUUAAAGAAAGCGUAAUAGCUCACUGGUCGAGUCGGCCUGCGCGGAAGAUGUAACGGGGCUAAACCAUGCACCGAAGCUGCGGCAGCGACACUAUGUGUUGUUGGGUAGGGGAGCGUUCUGUAAGCCUGUGAAGGUGGCCUGUGAGGGUUGCUGGAGGUAUCAGAAGUGCGAAUGCUGACAUAAGUAACGAUAAAGCGGGUGAAAAGCCCGCUCGCCGGAAGACCAAGGGUUCCUGUCCAACGUUAAUCGGGGCAGGGUGAGUCGACCCCUAAGGCGAGGCCGAAAGGCGUAGUCGAUGGGAAACAGGUUAAUAUUCCUGUACUUGGUGUUACUGCGAAGGGGGGACGGAGAAGGCUAUGUUGGCCGGGCGACGGUUGUCCCGGUUUAAGCGUGUAGGCUGGUUUUCCAGGCAAAUCCGGAAAACCAAGGCUGAGGCGUGAUGACGAGGCACUACGGUGCUGAAGCGACAAAUGCCCUGCUUCCAGGAAAAGCCUCUAAGCAUCAGGUAACAUCAAAUCGUACCCCAAACCGACACAGGUGGUCAGGUAGAGAAUACCAAGGCGCUUGAGAGAACUCGGGUGAAGGAACUAGGCAAAAUGGUGCCGUAACUUCGGGAGAAGGCACGCUGAUAUGUAGGUGAAGCGACUUGCUCGUGGAGCUGAAAUCAGUCGAAGAUACCAGCUGGCUGCAACUGUUUAUUAAAAACACAGCACUGUGCAAACACGAAAGUGGACGUAUACGGUGUGACGCCUGCCCGGUGCCGGAAGGUUAAUUGAUGGGGUUAGCGGUAACGCGAAGCUCUUGAUCGAAGCCCCGGUAAACGGCGGCCGUAACUAUAACGGUCCUAAGGUAGCGAAAUUCCUUGUCGGGUAAGUUCCGACCUGCACGAAUGGCGUAAUGAUGGCCAGGCUGUCUCCACCCGAGACUCAGUGAAAUUGAACUCGCUGUGAAGAUGCAGUGUACCCGCGGCAAGACGGAAAGACCCCGUGAACCUUUACUAUAGCUUGACACUGAACAUUGAGCCUUGAUGUGUAGGAUAGGUGGGAGGCUUUGAAGUGUGGACGCCAGUCUGCAUGGAGCCGACCUUGAAAUACCACCCUUUAAUGUUUGAUGUUCUAACGUUGGCCCGUAAUCCGGGUUGCGGACAGUGUCUGGUGGGUAGUUUGACUGGGGCGGUCUCCUCCUAAAGAGUAACGGAGGAGCACGAAGGUUGGCUAAUCCUGGUCGGACAUCAGGAGGUUAGUGCAAUGGCAUAAGCCAGCUUGACUGCGAGCGUGACGGCGCGAGCAGGUGCGAAAGCAGGUCAUAGUGAUCCGGUGGUUCUGAAUGGAAGGGCCAUCGCUCAACGGAUAAAAGGUACUCCGGGGAUAACAGGCUGAUACCGCCCAAGAGUUCAUAUCGACGGCGGUGUUUGGCACCUCGAUGUCGGCUCAUCACAUCCUGGGGCUGAAGUAGGUCCCAAGGGUAUGGCUGUUCGCCAUUUAAAGUGGUACGCGAGCUGGGUUUAGAACGUCGUGAGACAGUUCGGUCCCUAUCUGCCGUGGGCGCUGGAGAACUGAGGGGGGCUGCUCCUAGUACGAGAGGACCGGAGUGGACGCAUCACUGGUGUUCGGGUUGUCAUGCCAAUGGCACUGCCCGGUAGCUAAAUGCGGAAGAGAUAAGUGCUGAAAGCAUCUAAGCACGAAACUUGCCCCGAGAUGAGUUCUCCCUGACUCCUUGAGAGUCCUGAAGGAACGUUGAAGACGACGACGUUGAUAGGCCGGGUGUGUAAGCGCAGCGAUGCGUUGAGCUAACCGGUACUAAUGAACCGUGAGGCUUAACCUU